Molecule: long non-coding RNA, 1273 nt
Filed under: Androctonus crassicauda
Lineage: Eukaryota; Metazoa; Arthropoda; Arachnida; Scorpiones; Buthidae
Source: RNAcentral
AUGCGGAGUUAAAAAUGUUCCUUAUUAGAAUAUAUUAAUUAGAUUGAUGAGUUACGUUAUGCGGAGUCGCAUUUAUUAUACAAAAUUACUACAGGAACACUCAAGUUUAAAGGCCGAUAUAGGUCGAAAACAAAUAAGAGUAGAGAGAGAGAGAGAGAGAUGAUGUGUUAAAUUAAGCAUAUCUAAACCGUAACAAAACGAUUUUCGUGCAUAGAAAAAUUAGUUACGUUAAAGUGGUAACAGAUGCGCUCUACUAUGCCAAUACGCUAAUGACACGAUGUGCAUUCAGACGGAGAAAAUUCAGGUAAAAGUGUCUUGCUAAAAUUAUGAAGAUAAUCAAAUUGAAGGUUUGUUUUUUUUUCGUAUUGUGAAUAUCACUCUUAAACGAAUUGAAGAAUUAGUUAUGUUAUCUGUAGUUGUUAGGAUGAUGGCUAUCGCUAGCAGAGCGUCAUUAAAGCGAUUGAUGUAGCUGAUUCUGUUACAAGAAAUCUGCAUUCAACCACAAAUGCUACCAGUGUUUCUUGACAACUGAAAUUCCGUCAUUCGUUAAAUAAAACGAGCAUAAUAAUCACGCAUCAUCCAGUACCAUAGGAAUCUACAUUGUCAGCUGAUCCAUAGAUAAGUAUGUUUUUUAGGCUUUCAAAUUUGGUGAGGAAAAAAAUUCAAUUACGCGUAAAAUUCUAACAUUCGUACGGUUUAAUAAUGCGAAAAUUUUCGGAAAUUAUAAUUUAACAAACGGAAGAUAUCCGCUUGGAAAAACAGCCAUGAUAUCCAUACAGCUUGGCUACGAAUUUCAUCACGAUGCCAUGCUUCAUUCAAGAAUUUCAACCUCGCCAUGCCGUGUCUUAUAUAUAUAUGGCGAAAGAGGCGUGGGAUUGCGAAUGUCUCAUCAAUGUGUUAUUCUUGCCUUUCAAAAACAAGAAAUCCCAUUACAAGAAAACAAUUGUCUUCGUGCAGAGGAUAGAAGAGAUACGACAUAUUGCAUGAUAUGAGGAGGAGUUUCGCAUUCCGCAUUAUUCCUUCACAAAAUUCUCCAACAAUGUAUCAUUUUUUAAGCAGUUUUUCUUAAUAUUCUUUCCAUUUUUAGCUCAAUACUUAAUGACUCGUAGUCUAUGGAGUAGUGUUCAAUAACCUGUGCCAACUUAUUAUUUUCUCGUUAGGUUCUGAUUAUUGAAUUUUAUGAAUUAAUUUUUCCAGCAUAACUUCCCAUAGUUUAGAUACGGUUUGAUUCCAUUUGUUCUUCCAUAAUGUAUGUCAUUUAUCUUUAAAAGCG